AGGAAUAUUGCGCAAUGGGGGCAACCCUGACGCAGUGACGCCGCGUGAGUGAUGAAGGCUUUCGAGUCGUAAAGCUCUGUUAGGUGGAAAGAAACAUCCCGGUGCUAAUAUCGCCGGGACUUGACGGUACCACCAGAGGAAGCACCGGCUAACUCCGUGCCAGCAGCCGCGGUAAUACGGAGGGUGCAAGCGUUGUUCGGAUUUACUGGGCGUAAAGGGCGUGUAGGCGGUUGGCUAAGUCAGAUGUGAAAUCCCUUAGCUUAACUAAGGAACGGCAUUUGAAACUAGCUAACUAGAGUACAGGAGAGGAAAGUGGAAUUCCCAGUGUAGAGGUGAAAUUCAUAGAUAUUGGGAGGAACACCGGUAGCGAAGGCGGCUUUCUGGCCUGAUACUGACGCUGAGACGCGAAAGCGUGGGUAGCAAACAGGAUUAGA
Molecule: ribosomal RNA, 434 nt
Filed under: uncultured bacterium
Lineage: Bacteria
Description: bacterial SSU rRNA
Rfam family: Bacterial small subunit ribosomal RNA
Source: RNAcentral